RNAcentral lists this long non-coding RNA (494 nucleotides) under Brassica napus (rape). RNAcentral describes it as "long non-coding RNA (BNAP_LNC020734)". The record is from RNAcentral. Lineage: Eukaryota; Viridiplantae; Streptophyta; Magnoliopsida; Brassicales; Brassicaceae.
CUUCAAGUAUUUAAUUUCAUUCUUGUAUAAUUGUAAAUUCCAUGCACAUCCAUAUUUCAUGUAGUAUAAAGGAAGAGACAUCGUACAUGAAACAUCCAACUAAAACGGUCUUCUCUCUAUUCGAACAUCAGUUUUCAAAGAUAAUGGUUUGAUAAUUGGUCACCCUUUGAAAACCUAUACAAGUUUCUGAACGCCAGCACUUCGCGUCUUGGUAUCCCAAAGACAGCAACUGUGGCAUCACGCUUCUCCGCGGGGAGUUGGCAUCUACCUGCAGCAAAAACUGAGAACCAAUUAGCACUACAGGUUCACGGUGGAGUUAUCAGAAGUGGAAGAUGGUUAUGAAUGGGUGGUUGAUGGAAGACUGGAACAAAGGUACAAAACAGGCGUGAUAUACACUUAUCUUAAAGGUUCCCAGCCGACGGUUCCUUGGGCUAAGAUCGUUUGGAUCUCUUACAGCAUCCCGCGGCACAACUUCCUUACUUGGUUGGUCCUAC